UUUAGAUUGCUAAAGUAAUUUGAUAAUUGCAGGUUGUGCUCCUGAAAGCUCCUCACUUACCAUUGCACUGGUUUGUGGAAUUUUACUGCUUUUGAUCGUACUGGCUGUGCUGGUGCGCUACUGCAGAAAGGGUCUUCAUUGUGACAGGCUCACUCAGUGUCUGAACAUCAACCAAGGCUCUGCGAUGCGUCGAACAGAGAGCCAGAAUGAAACUCAAGUUUACUCCUCUCUCCUCCAUGGUGAUGCUUCUGUCUACGAGACAAUCAGAGGCUCUGGAAAAACUGAGAGUGAUGAGCCUGGCAAUGACUACAUUAAUGCUACACCUCUUCACCAGACUGAAGGUUGUGAAGGUCCAUGAAAAGAAGUGUGUCAUCGACAAAACAAGAGACGCAUGGACAAUAACAUGAAAAACAUGUUCAAACAUACUGGACACAAUUAUACAACUGCUGCCAUACCAACACCAGACACACAGUAUUUUGAGCAGUUUUGCUGUAGAUCGUAUUAAAGAAUUAUGGCCUGGAUUUAGCUUCGACAUAAACGGCAACACUGCUGAUACUGCUUUUAAACUCCUUAUAUCCUUAUUAUAUAUUUUUUGCAGUCAUUUUAUAGGUUAGAAGUUGUAGGAUCAUGUAAGUGUUUUUACAGUGUUGAUGUUAAGCAGGUUGCAUUGUUAUCAUCAGGCUUCUUCAACAUCUUAUUCAAACAGCUCUUUGGAAGAAACGUGAGAAAGUUUGUGUUUGUUGCACAAUGGUAAAUCUAUAUCAAUAUAAUUUUUACAUUGUACUAUGUCAUUUUUCUUAUA
This is a long non-coding RNA of Acanthochromis polyacanthus (spiny chromis), 802 nucleotides long. RefSeq lists it as uncharacterized. NCBI's taxonomy places the organism in Eukaryota, Metazoa, Chordata, Actinopteri, Pomacentridae. The record is from RefSeq and is a predicted model, not a curated record. The transcript has 6 exons.